AGCCCAUAGUGAUGGCACAUUCUCAAUAGAUCCUUAAAUCUCUCUCAUGCAUCAUACAAUGUCUCCAAAUCAAUUUGAGCAAAAGGAGAGAUAUCAUUCCUUAACUU
Gossypium hirsutum (cotton) is the source of this 107-nucleotide non-coding RNA. Lineage: Eukaryota; Viridiplantae; Streptophyta; Magnoliopsida; Malvales; Malvaceae. The record is from Rfam.